UACGUAGGUGGCAAGCGUUGUCCGGAAUUAUUGGGCGUAAAGCGCGCGCAGGCGGCCUUUUAAGUCUGAUGUGAAAGCCCACGGCUCAACCGUGGAAGGUCAUUGGAAACUGAAAGGCUUGAGUACAGAAGAGGAAAGCGGAAUUCCACGUGUAGCGGUGAAAUGCGUAGAGAUGUGGAGGAACACCAGUGGCGAAGGCGGCUUUCUGGGCAACAACUGACGCUGAGGAGCGAAAGCGUGGGGAGCGAACAGG
This 253-nucleotide ribosomal RNA is filed under the name uncultured bacterium. RNAcentral describes it as "partial 16S ribosomal RNA". It matches the Rfam family "Bacterial small subunit ribosomal RNA", at positions 524 to 776 of the family's 1533-position model. The record is from RNAcentral.